Lutra lutra (Eurasian river otter) is the source of this 749-nucleotide long non-coding RNA. RefSeq lists it as uncharacterized. The record is from RefSeq and is a predicted model, not a curated record. The transcript is spliced from 4 exons. Lineage: Eukaryota; Metazoa; Chordata; Mammalia; Carnivora; Mustelidae.
GGCAAGGUCUCUUCGGUCUGAGACUGGCCCUGUGGAUCAUGCAAUCUUGACUGUGUAAGGCUGUGUCAUGUUGGUUUGCAAACUGGCCUCCCUGUACACAGAGAACAAGGAGAGACCAAAAAAAGAGGCAGACCGCUGGUUUACUAAGCAAGGAAUGAGCUCACAAGGCUUGUCUUGGGCACUGCAAGAUGAGGUUAUGAUGGAUUUCGACAAGUCCAGCUUGCAGCAGGACAGCGCGACCCAGUGGAGAUGGAGUAGUUGCCCCUUGUUCAGGGGUGCAAAGUAACGCCCCCCAUCCCGGUGGGAUGAGUCACCGCAGAUGCCAAUAGAUAAUGCCUGUCUCAGGCAGAUUACCUACAUCAAGAAGAGCCUUUCAUAAUCUCAUCAAGAGCAGACCAACAGUCCAGGAAAACUGUCCUUUUAGCAGAUGAAAGAAAAUGACACUUUACUUUUCAUGCUGAAUAACUGUUGAAUUUCCUGUGGUUGCUGUGACAAAUGACUACGGAGUCAGUGGCUUAAGAUGACAGAAAUGUCUUCUACUGUUCUGGAGGCUAGAAGUCUGAAAUCAGUAUCACUGGGGUGAAAUCAAGGUGUGGAUGCCCCCCACCCCUGCCUUCUGGAGGUGCUAGGAGAGCAUCCUGUCUGGGCUUCUCCCAGCAUCUGGUAGCUGACCACUCUCUCUCUCUCUCUUUCUUUCUUUCUUUCUUUCAAGAUUUAUUUACUUUUCCUUGAGUGAGAGAGAGUGAGAG